Molecule: long non-coding RNA, 3495 nt
Organism: Melospiza georgiana
Lineage: Eukaryota; Metazoa; Chordata; Aves; Passeriformes; Passerellidae
Exons: 4
Source: RefSeq, a predicted model, not a curated record
GCUACCAUGCAAAAAUAUUAGCUGGUGCAGGGAAUAGCUGUAACCUUCUGCUCAGUUUUGUGUCCCGUGGGGAACAUACUAUAAGUCAAUCCUGUGCCAUGCAUUACCUGCCAACCAAUUUCUGAAUGUGCUUCUGGGACCUGAGUAGUAUCUAUGAGAAGCUGAGACCUGGCUGCCUUGGAAGUGGCUUUUUUUAUCCCCAUCUCCAUCAGGAUAGUCAUGCAGGAUGUUCUUUUUGGCUUGUUCAGGAGCUGAAAUAUGAAGUACCUUGGAACCAUUUUUUUCUGUCAAUGCACCAUGCUACUUCAGAUUUUCACUUGAGCAGAAUCUUGUCUCUUGCCUUCAGGACUGGUCUCUCAGGAACAGUUGUGUUUGUCCAGGCAUCUUGCAAAACUUGCAAGGAUUUUGUUGAGAUUGGUGGCAAGGUCAGAAAAUACUAUUUUUGUCUUUUGAAGUAUAAAUGUAAGAGGCAGAUUCUAGUUGUCUGGAAGAAUGCAUCACAAUAUAUGACCAAGUAGGCAAAUGAAGAUACAGCUGGGUAAAAGGGAGGAAUGACUGAUGCUGUGGAUGAAGGGAGAGGAGCUUGUUGUUGCAGAAGGUGUCCUUUAGCACAGCUUUCUGCUCACUUUCCGUGGCAUCCUGAGAGCCAAACUGGAGCAGCGAAUGCAUCUGCUCAUCAGAGGACUUGCUCUUCACCAGACACCCUAUUUGCUGCUGUCAUAAAUGUGGGACACAAGAACAAGGCUUUGAAAAUCUGUGCAAAAGUUUAAAUCAGUGGGGAUCCAAGAGUUUUCAGGCAAACAGAAAUUCUUAGGAAGGAGCAUUUAAUGGAGUUUCCUUCUCCAUCCUCCUGCCCCAACCCAGAAGAGACAGACCCAUUCAAGACUGCAUUAAUCAGCUCUGGAAUGAAACUAGUGGUGGUAGUUGAAUGUUCUGGAGCUGUAGGAGAGGAAUGGUACUGUUAUCCUUGCUGCAGGAUGUGGCUGUGGUUCAUUCACCUGAGAGAUUGAGACCCUGGGAAUUUUAUGAAAGCCAAAAAUGGUUUGCUAUGAUGACAAUGUCUGAAAGACGAAAAAGUUAAAUGUUUUCACAAGCAUGUGAAAACCAGUUUUCAUGUCUCCAAACAGAGUUGAGGAGUGAUUUGUAUUGACUUUUCUGUUCUGUGUAUGCUUGUUUUCUUGCGCUCUUUCUCUGAAGAGAUCAAUGCAGACUUUUUUAACAAGGUGAACAACAAAUUAUUUAAGGUGGCUAGAAUGUCAGCAGUGUUAUUGUAGUGAGAAGUAAAUGGCUGCAUAUCCAGUUAGGGAUAUAGUCAAGCUGCAAGCUCUUAACAGAGUCAAGAAUUUAACAAAGUCACUGAUUCAGGAUGGGGCCUAACUUACAGGUUUAGUAUAUUUAUUCCACCUUUGUUUCCACAAUUUGUUACUUAUUCAAAAAUCUGUCUUUAUUUAUGAUGUUGUUUUCACUGUGAAUUCUGAGUGUUUCAUAGAAGUGUGUCUGUCUCUGUUUAUUCUUCCUUAUCUCCAAUCAUGUCUGCUGCAUUCUCUCAUAUUUUUUCUUUUGCUCUUUGACAGUCCUCUAGAUAUUUUUUUUUCUCUCUCUUUUUGGCAGCUCCUCAGUUUGGGAUUAUUCUGAUCUCAUAGUGCCUCAGUCCCAGAUUCUUUACAGGCAUGCAUUGAUGUUUUUACUCCUAAUGUGUUCUUAGUCUUUCUGGACCUUCCUUCAUGAGGCCAGACUGUAAAUUGAAUCUAUUAAAGCUGGGUAUUGAUGCUGUGUCAAAUGAACACUUGUUUCCUGGAAAGAAACUUAUCCUGGACGACUGCAUUUGCAGGUUUUGAGAGGGCUAUGGCUUUCUGUAAUACUUUAUAUUAUAAAGCAAUCUUUUUUUCCAGUUCUCUUUUUUAUCUCUGGUCACUAGGUAUUUAUUUAAAUGGAAAUUUAAUCAGAUUCUACCUUCUCUCUGUUGGCUGCCUCACAAAUGCAACUCUGUCAAAAUUUAUUUGGCAACACAGACUGUCUUCUAUGUGGUCAUCAUUAGAACUACUCAAAUUUGCUUUCAAACCUGCAAAGUGAAAAUUUGGAAUAUAUUACUGUUUUUGUUUGUUUGUUUUUAAAUCAUUAUCUUGGAGCUAUUUUCUAAGCCCUGCCUAACUCACAUACAUAGAAAACAUGUUGUUCCACUGAAAAUUCAAGUACUUAGUGUACUAUGUGUGCUGUAUGGGUAACCAGAUUAAAUGGGAAAACAUCAAUUAUGGGAAAACAUCAAUUACUUGAUCAAUCCACAGAAGACUUUAGUAAUAUCCAGGUUAUCUGGGUUCAACCCUGACUUGGCAAUAGAUUUUGUUUUGUGGCCUUGGAUGACUCCCUUAGUCUGUCAACUUCUACCCCUCUGCAAGAGACAGUUAUGUUGCCAAAGGUUUAGUACCUUCCAUUGUAAGUAAAAAAGCACCACUGACAAUGAGACUUUGAGAUAUUUCUUUGAACAGUGACUAUCUAAUUCAGCAGCUACAUCAAAUUAAUUAUAAUUUGUAGACACAAGCAAUAGCAUACUGAUACUUUUAGAAAUCUCAGUGCCUGUAAUCUAAUAAAAAACACAUAAAAAAGAUUAAACUCCCAUGGUGAGUCAUGGAGAGCCCAUGCUUCUUCAUCCUGCUUCUUUCUAAGAGUCAUCCUCCUCAUCAUUGCUUGAUUUAAAAGAGAAAUUGGCAUGCAUGGUGGUUGGUGUGAUAAAGGUAUGCUAAUCACCAACUGAUUUCAGUUCAUAAAGGCUGUUAGAAAUUUCAUCCCUGGUAUGUGGCUUUAAAAAUCAAGAUUAUUUAAUUGCAGGUGGGACAUAGAAACUAUAAUGAAAGAAAUCCACACUCUUAGGGAACAAAGGACAAAUUACAAAGGGUUUAUUUUUCUUUUAUCCAGUGGAAGAUGAGGUCAUACUCAGGAGCAAGAUGGCUCUCAGAGAUAGAUACCUGACUAACAGACUGGGGGGGCUUAUUGGACUGCCAGGCUGCAUUACUGGGGAUUUUUGAAGUCAAUGUAUGGUUGAGAUGCUUGCCCUUGAUGAAUAAAGCCAGCACAAUUUUAAGUGACAUAACUCUAGUUCUGGUCAGAAGCCAGAACUUCAGGUUUUGCCUAUGAAAAGGGUUCCCCUGUUCUUCUGAUGAGGACUAGGAGGAGCAAGAUGAGGGGGAAAAAAAAGGAUAAAAAAUCCCUUCCAGUAGGGAACUUCUAAUAUGUCUUGGGUUUCUGUCCUUUUAAGAUGGGGAUGGUUUCUUACACUCUUUAAAGGACAUUGUCAAUAGAAAUUGAACACUAUUAUUUUUAUGAUUUAUAAAUGCUAUAAAGCGCCAUUAAGAAUCAAGCUAAAGUGACAAAUCUUAGUAUCCUAUUUAAAAAUUGUGUGCAGAUGCUACUGUGCCUGUAUAUAAACAUAUAAAUAUUAUCAUUCUUGGGCUGAUUUGUGGUUUUUUGCAUAGAAAAAGAUAACACAAAAAUGUAAUU